CCUACGGGAGGCAGCAGUGGGGAAUUUUGGACAAUGGGCGCAAGCCUGAUCCAGCAAUGCCGCGUGAGUGAAGAAGGCCUUCGGGUUGUAAAGCUCUUUUGUCAGGGAAGAAACGGUGAGCUCUAAUACAGUUUGCUAAUGACGGUACCUGAAGAAUAAGCACCGGCUAACUACGUGCCAGCAGCCGCGGUAAUACGUAGGGUGCAAGCGUUAAUCGGAAUUACUGGGCGUAAAGCGUGCGCAGGCGGUUUUGUAAGUCUGUCGUGAAAUCCCCGGGCUCAACCUGGGAAUGGCGAUGGAGACUGCAAGGCUAGAGUUUGGCAGAGGGGGGUAGAAUUCCACGUGUAGCAGUGAAAUGCGUAGAUAUGUGGAGGAACACCGAUGGCGAAGGCAGCCCCCUGGGUCAAAACUGACGCUCAUGCACGAAAGCGUGGGGAGCAAACAGGAUUAGAUACCCUGGUAGUCCACGCCCUAAACGAUGUCUACUAGUUGUCGGGUCUUAAUUGACUUGGUAACGCAGCUAACGCGUGAAGUAGACCGCCUGGGGAGUACGGUCGCAAGAUUAAAACGUCAAAGGAAUUGACGG
Molecule: ribosomal RNA, 586 nt
Filed under: uncultured bacterium
Lineage: Bacteria
Description: bacterial SSU rRNA
Rfam family: Bacterial small subunit ribosomal RNA
Source: RNAcentral